GUACACAAAAAUGCACAUAUUGUGAGCUCGAUGAGUAGGGCGGGACACGUGGUAUCCUGUCUGAAUAUGGGGGGACCAUCCUCCAAGGCUAAAUACUCCUGACUGACCGAUAGUGAACCAGUACCGUGAGGGAAAGGCGAAAAGAACCCCGGCGAGGGGAGUGAAAAAGAACCUGAAACCGUGUACGUACAAGCAGUGGGAGCCUCUUUAUGGGGUGACUGCGUACCUUUUGUAUAAUGGGUCAGCGACUUAUAUUCUGUAGCAAGGUUAACCGAAUAGGGGAGCCGAAGGGAAACCGAGUCUUAACUGGGCGUUAAGUUGCAGGGUAUAGACCCGAAACCCGGUGAUCUAGCCAUGGGCAGGUUGAAGGUUGGGUAACACUAACUGGAGGACCGAACCGACUAAUGUUGAAAAAUUAGCGGAUGACUUGUGGCUGGGGGUGAAAGGCCAAUCAAACCGGGAGAUAGCUGGUUCUCCCCGAAAGCUAUUUAGGUAGCGCCUCGUGAAUUCAUCUCCGGGGGUAGAGCACUGUUUCGGCAAGGGGGUCAUCCCGACUUACCAACCCGAUGCAAACUGCGAAUACCGGAGAAUGUUAUCACGGGAGACACACGGCGGGUGCUAACGUCCGUCGUGAAGAGGGAAACAACCCAGACCGCCAGCUAAGGUCCCAAAGUCAUGGUUAAGUGGGAAACGAUGUGGGAAGGCCCAGACAGCCAGGAUGUUGGCUUAGAAGCAGCCAUCAUUUAAAGAAAGCGUAAUAGCUCACUGGUCGAGUCGGCCUGCGCGGAAGAUGUAACGGGGCUAAACCAUGCACCGAAGCUGCGGCAGCGACACUAUGUGUUGUUGGGUAGGGGAGCGUUCUGUAAGCCUGUGAAGGUGGCCUGUGAGGG
This 890-nucleotide ribosomal RNA is filed under the name Escherichia coli. RNAcentral describes it as "partial 23S ribosomal RNA". It matches the Rfam family "Bacterial large subunit ribosomal RNA", at positions 375 to 1269 of the family's 2925-position model. RNAcentral also lists the same sequence under 1 other name. Lineage: Bacteria; Pseudomonadati; Pseudomonadota; Gammaproteobacteria; Enterobacterales; Enterobacteriaceae. The record is from RNAcentral.